This 207-nucleotide microRNA precursor is filed under the name Oryza nivara. Its description in RNAcentral is "MIR812 microRNA precursor family". It matches the Rfam family "MIR812 microRNA precursor family". Lineage: Eukaryota; Viridiplantae; Streptophyta; Magnoliopsida; Poales; Poaceae. The record is from Rfam by way of RNAcentral.
AAAAACUCAAUUCCUGAGUUUUCGUGUCUAACGUUUGAUCGUCCGUCUUAUUUUAAAAAAAUAUAAAAAAAUUUAAAAAGAUAAGCCAUGCAUAAAAUAUUAUUUAUGUUUUAUCAUCUAGCAAUAAUGAAAAUACUAAUCAUAAAAAAAUUUCAUAUAAGACGGACGAUCAAACGUUGGAGACGGAAACCCAAGAAUUGAGUCUUU